GAAAAGAACAACAUCACCUGUGUCAAGGGAAUCUCCGGUGUGAAUCCGGAAGCGGUACUCGCCACUGUAUGACGCGACACCACACGAACCGCCUCGCCCCGCGCGAGGCCACUAGGGGCAAACACGCCCCCGGGAAGGCCUGAAAACCUCGCCACCAACGAGGUGUCGGCGGCCGUGUGACGGCGUUGAAGCCAGGAGACCUACAGGAGAUGACCGGUUUUA
This 222-nucleotide non-coding RNA is filed under the name Corynebacterium aquilae. RNAcentral also lists the same sequence under 1 other name. Lineage: Bacteria; Bacillati; Actinomycetota; Actinomycetes; Mycobacteriales; Corynebacteriaceae. The record is from RNAcentral.